AGUGAACGCUGGCGGUAGGCCUAACACAUGCAAGUCGAACGGCAGUACAGUAAGAGCUUGCUCUUACGGGUGGCGAGUGGCGGACGGGAGAGGAAUACAUCGGAAUCUACUUUUUCGUGGGGGAUAACGUAGGGAAACUUACGCUAAUACCGCAUACGACCUACGGUUGAAAGCAGGGGAUCUUCGGACCUUGCGCGAUUGAAUGAGCCGAUGUCGGAUUAGCUAGUUGGCGGGGUAAAGGCCCAGCAAGGCGACGAUCCGUAGCCGGUCUGAGAGGAUGAUCGGCCACACUGGAGCUGGGACACGGUCCAGACUCCUACGGGAGGCAGCAGUGGGGAAUAUUGGACAGUAGGCGCAAGCCUGAUACAGCCAGACCGAGUGGGUGAAGAAGGCCUUCGGGUUGUAAAGACCUUUUGUUGGGAAAGAAAAGCAGCAGGUUAAUACCCAGCUGUUCUGACGGUACCCAAAGAAUAAGCACCGGCUAACUUCGUG
Molecule: ribosomal RNA, 492 nt
Filed under: uncultured bacterium
Lineage: Bacteria
Description: partial 16S ribosomal RNA
Rfam family: Bacterial small subunit ribosomal RNA
Source: RNAcentral